RNAcentral lists this ribosomal RNA (497 nucleotides) under uncultured bacterium. RNAcentral describes it as "partial 16S ribosomal RNA". It matches the Rfam family "Bacterial small subunit ribosomal RNA", at positions 28 to 507 of the family's 1533-position model. The record is from RNAcentral.
GAUGGACGCUGGCGGCGUGCCUAAUACAUGCAAGUCGAGCGAACAGACGAGGAGCUUGCUCCUCUGACGUUAGCGGCGGACGGGUGAGUAACACGUGGAUAACCUACCUAUAAGACUGGGAUAACUUCGGGAAACCGGAGCUAAUACCGGAUAAUAUAUUUAACCGCAUGGUUCAAUAGUGAAAGACGGUUUUGCUGUCACUUAUAGAUGGAUCCGCGCCGCAUUAGCUAGUUGGUAAGGUAACGGCUUACCAAGGCAACGAUGCGUAGCCGACCUGAGAGGGUGAUCGGCCACACUGGAACUGAGACACGGUCCAGACUCCUACGGGAGGCAGCAGUAGGGAAUCUUCCGCAAUGGGCGAAAGCCUGACGGAGCAACGCCGCGUGAGUGAUGAAGGUCUUCGGAUCGUAAAACUCUGUUAUUAGGGAAGAACAAAUGUGUAAGUAACUAUGCACGUCUUGACGGUACCUAAUCAGAAAGCCACGGCUAACUACGUG